This 468-nucleotide ribosomal RNA is filed under the name uncultured bacterium. Its description in RNAcentral is "partial 16S ribosomal RNA". It matches the Rfam family "Bacterial small subunit ribosomal RNA", at positions 28 to 507 of the family's 1533-position model. The record is from RNAcentral.
GACGAACGCUGGCGGCGUGCUUAACACAUGCAAGUCGAACGGACAGGCCCUUCUUUUGUGGGGUGCUCGAGUGGCUAACUGGUGAUUAACACGUGAGUAACCUGCCCUUGACUUUGGUAUAACUUCAGGAAACUGGGGCUAAUACCGGAUUGGAGCUCCUUCUUCAUGGUGGGUGUUGGAAAGUUUCGGCGGUUGGGGAUGGACUCGCGGCUUUUCAGCUUGUUGGUGGGGUAGUGGCUUACCAAGUCUUUUACGGGUAGCCGUCCUGAGAGGGUGACCGGCCACAUGGGGACUGAGAGACGGCGCAGAAGCGUACGGGAGGCAGUAGUGGGGAAUAUUGCAGAAUGGGGGGAAGCCUGAGGAAGAAACGCCGCGUGCGGGAUGACGGCCUUCGGGUGGUAAACCGAUUUCGCAUGUGACGAAGAGUGAGUGACGGUAAUGAGUAAAGAAGCACCGGCUAACUACGUG